This 478-nucleotide ribosomal RNA is filed under the name uncultured bacterium. RNAcentral's name for it is "partial 16S ribosomal RNA". It matches the Rfam family "Bacterial small subunit ribosomal RNA", at positions 28 to 523 of the family's 1533-position model. The record is from RNAcentral.
GACGAAUGCUGGCGGCGUGCUUAACACAUGCAAGUCGAACGGUAAGGCCCUUCGGGGUACACGAGUGGCGAACGGGUGAGUAACACGUGGGUGAUCUGCCCUGCACUUCGGGCUAAGCCUGGGAAACUGGGUCUAAAUACGGAUAGGACCACUGCCUGCAUGGGAGGUGGGGGAAAGCGUUGGGGGUGUGAGAUGGGCCCGCGGCCUAUUAGCUUGUUGGUGGGGUGAUGGCCUACCGAGGCGACGACGGGUAACCGACCUGAGCGGGGGUCCGCCCACACUAGGACUAAGAGACGGCCCAGACUCCUACGGGGGGCAGCAGUGGGAAAUAUUGCACAGUGGGCGCAAGCCUGAUGCAGCGACGUCGCGGGAGGGAUGACGGCCUUCGGGUUGUAAACCUCUAUCAGCACCGACGAAGCGCAAGUGACGGUAGGUGCAGAAGAAGGACCGGCCAACUACGUGCCAGCAGCCGCCGUAA